This 532-nucleotide ribosomal RNA is filed under the name Shewanella xiamenensis. RNAcentral's name for it is "bacterial SSU rRNA". It matches the Rfam family "Bacterial small subunit ribosomal RNA", at positions 355 to 879 of the family's 1533-position model. The record is from RNAcentral. Lineage: Bacteria; Pseudomonadati; Pseudomonadota; Gammaproteobacteria; Alteromonadales; Shewanellaceae.
UGGGGAAUAUUGCACAAUGGGGGAAACCCUGAUGCAGCCAUGCCGCGUGUGUGAAGAAGGCCUUCGGGUUGUAAAGCACUUUCAGUAGGGAGGAAAGGUUGACGGUUAAUACCCGUUAGCUGUGACGUUACCUACAGAAGAAGGACCGGCUAACUCCGUGCCAGCAGCCGCGGUAAUACGGAGGGUCCGAGCGUUAAUCGGAAUUACUGGGCGUAAAGCGUGCGCAGGCGGUUUGUUAAGCGAGAUGUGAAAGCCCCGGGCUCAACCUGGGAAUUGCAUUUUGAACUGGCAAACUAGAGUCUUGUAGAGGGGGGUAGAAUUUCAGGUGUAGCGGUGAAAUGCGUAGAGAUCUGAAGGAAUACCGGUGGCGAAGGCGGCCCCCUGGACAAAGACUGACGCUCAUGCACGAAAGCGUGGGGAGCAAACAGGAUUAGAUACCCUGGUAGUCCACGCCGUAAACGAUGUCUACUCGGAGUUUGGUGUCUUGAACACUGGGCUCUCAAGCUAACGCAUUAAGUAGACCGCCUGGGGA